CGAACGGGUGAGUAAUAUAUCGGAACGUACCCUGGAGUGGGGGAUCGUAGCGAAAGUUACGCUAAUACCGCAUACGAUCUAAGGAUGAAAGUGGGGGAUCGCAACCUCAUGCUCCUGGAGCGGCCGAUAUCUGAUUAGCUAGUUGGUAGGGUAAAAGCCUAAAGGCAUCGAUCAGUAGCUGGUCUGAGAGGACGACCAGCCACACUGGAACUGAGACACUCCAGACUCCUACGGGAGGCAGCAGUGGGGAAUUUUGGACAAUGGGCGCAAGCCUGAUAGCAAUGCCGCGUGAGUGAAGAAGGCCUUCGGGUUGUAAAGCUCUUUUGUCAGGGAAGAAGGCUACGGAUAAUACCUGUGGCUCAUGACGGUACCUGAAGAAUAAGCACCGGCUAAACGUGCCAGCAGCCGCGGUAAUACGUAGGGUGCAAGCGUUAAUCGGAAUUACUGGGCGAAGCGUGCGCAGGCGGUUUUGUAAGACUGUCGUGAAAUCCCCGGGCUCAACCUGGGAAGCGAUGGUGACUGCAAGGCUAGAGUUUGGCAGAGGGGGGUAGAAUUCCACGUGUAGCAGAAAUGCGUAGAUAUGUGGAGGAACACCGAUGGCGAAGGCAGCCCCCUGGGUCAAAACACGCUCAUGCACGAAAGCGUGGGGAGCAAACAGGAUUAGAUACCCUGGUAGUCCACGCUACCACAUAUGUCUACUAGUUGUCGGGUCUUAAUUGACUUGGUAACGCAGCUAACGCG
RNAcentral lists this ribosomal RNA (741 nucleotides) under uncultured bacterium. Its description in RNAcentral is "bacterial SSU rRNA". It matches the Rfam family "Bacterial small subunit ribosomal RNA", at positions 99 to 859 of the family's 1533-position model. The record is from RNAcentral.